GACGAACGCUGGCGGCGUGCUUAACACAUGCAAGUCGAACGGCAAGGCCCUGCUUUUGUGGGGUGCUCGAGUGGCGAACGGGUGAGUAACACGUGAGUAACCUGCCCUUGACUUUGGGAUAACUUCAGGAAACUGGGGCUAAUACCGGAUAGGAUCCCCUGCUCCAUGGUGGGGGUUGGAAAUUCUCGGCUGUUGGGGAUGGACUCGCGGCUUAUGAGCUUGUUGGUGGGGUAGUGGCUUACCAAGGCUUUGAAGGGUAGCCGGCCUGGGAGGGUGACCGGGGACAAUGGGACUGAGAGACGGACCAGACGGGUACGGGAGGCAGCAGUGGGGAAUAUUGCACAAUGGGCGGAAGCCUGAUGAAGAAACGCCGCGUGCGGGAAGACGGCCUUCGGGGUGUAAACCGCUGUCGCCUGUGACGAAGCGUGAGUGACGGUAAUGGGUAAAGAAGCACCGGCUAACUACGUG
Molecule: ribosomal RNA, 468 nt
Filed under: uncultured bacterium
Lineage: Bacteria
Description: partial 16S ribosomal RNA
Rfam family: Bacterial small subunit ribosomal RNA
Source: RNAcentral